RNAcentral lists this ribosomal RNA (459 nucleotides) under uncultured bacterium. Its description in RNAcentral is "partial 16S ribosomal RNA". It matches the Rfam family "Bacterial small subunit ribosomal RNA", at positions 338 to 795 of the family's 1533-position model. The record is from RNAcentral.
CCUACGGGAGGCAGCAGUGAGGAAUAUUGGUCAAUGGCCGCAGGGCUGAACCAGCCAAGUCGCGUGAGGGAUGACGGUCCUAUGGAUUGUAAACCUCUUUUGUCAGGGAGCAAAGGGCGCCACGUGUGGCGCUUUGCGAGUACCUGAAGAAAAAGCAUCGGCUAACUCCGUGCCAGCAGCCGCGGUAAUACGGAGGAUGCGAGCGUUAUCCGGAUUUAUUGGGUUUACAGGGUGCGCAGGCGGAAUGUCAAGUCAGCGGUAAAAUUUCGGGGCUCAACCCCGUCGUGCCGUUGAAACUGGCGUUCUUGAGUGAGCGAGAAGUAUGCGGAAUGCGUGGUGUAGCGGUGAAAUGCAUAGAUAUCACGCAGAACUCCGAUUGCGAAGGCAGCAUACCGGCGCUCAACUGACGCUCAUGCACGAAAGCGUGGGUAUCGAACAGGAUUAGAGACCCGAGUAGUC